AGUGAACGCUGGCGGUAGGCCUAACACAUGCAAGUCGAACGGCAGCACAGUAAGAGCUUGCUCUUAAGGGUGGCGAGUGGCGGACGAGUGAGGAAUACAUCGGAAUCUACUUUUUCGUGGGGGAUAACGUAGGGAAACUUACGCUAAUACCGCAUACGACCUACGGGUGAAAGCAGGGGAUCUUCGGACCUUGCGCGAUUGAAUGAGCCGAUGUCGGAUUAGCUAGUUGGCGGGGUAAAGGCCCACCAAGGCGACGAUCCGUAGCUGGUCUGAGAGGAUGAUCAGCCACACUGGAACUGAGACACGGUCCAGACUCCUACGGGAGGCAGCAGUGGGGAAUAUUGGACAAUGGGCGCAAGCCUGAUCCAGCCAUACCGCGUGGGUGAAGAAGGCCUUCGGGUUGUAAAGCCCUUUUGUUGGGAAAGAAAAGCAGCAGGUUAAUACCCCGCUGUUCUGACGGUACCCAAAGAAUAAGCACCGGCUAACUUCGUG
This 492-nucleotide ribosomal RNA is filed under the name uncultured bacterium. RNAcentral describes it as "partial 16S ribosomal RNA". It matches the Rfam family "Bacterial small subunit ribosomal RNA", at positions 29 to 507 of the family's 1533-position model. The record is from RNAcentral.